GACAGAGGUGCCAAGCGUUAGGCGGAAUCACUGGGCUUAAAGCGUGUGUAGGCGGGUCGUUAAGUACCUUGUGAAAUCCCCCGGCUCAACCGGGGAACGGCUGGGUAUACUGGCGAUCUUGAGCCACCUAGGGGCAGUCGGAACAAGUGGUGGAGCGGUGAAAUGCGUAGAUAUCACUUGGAACGCCAAUGGUGAAAACAGACUGCUGGGGGUGUGCUGACGCUGAGACACGAAAGCCAGGGGAGCAAACGGG
Molecule: ribosomal RNA, 253 nt
Filed under: uncultured bacterium
Lineage: Bacteria
Description: partial 16S ribosomal RNA
Rfam family: Bacterial small subunit ribosomal RNA
Source: RNAcentral